Long non-coding RNA from Eurytemora carolleeae, 315 nucleotides. RefSeq lists it as uncharacterized. NCBI's taxonomy places the organism in Eukaryota, Metazoa, Arthropoda, Copepoda, Calanoida, Temoridae. The transcript is spliced from 3 exons. The record is from RefSeq and is a predicted model, not a curated record.
CCCCCCUCCUCUACACACUAGACACAGGAUGAUUCUAAUGGAUGGAGAAAUGGAUAUUAUCAAUUCUUUAGGAGAUAUGGAUCGAGAUGGUUCCCUGGAUUCACUCUGGCCAUGGGACCAAAGCUUUGAGGUAGGCAAUAAGCACUUUUAAACAUUUGGACAAUUUUAAGACAAGAAUCUUUAAGAAAGAAACAGAUAAUGAAAAAAGUAGUAAAAAAAGGACCUAAAAAAAUUAAACCAAAAAUUAAAUACCGUUCAAAAUUUUGAACAGAAUUUCUUAGAAUAAAUCGAAGACUAAAAUGUUGUGGGUUCUUC